This 23-nucleotide microRNA is filed under the name Ornithorhynchus anatinus (platypus). RNAcentral's name for it is "oan-miR-875-5p". Its record names the gene oan-miR-875-5p. RNAcentral also lists the same sequence under 1 other name. The record is from miRBase by way of RNAcentral. Lineage: Eukaryota; Metazoa; Chordata; Mammalia; Monotremata; Ornithorhynchidae.
AAUACCUCAGUCUUAUCAGGUGU